Molecule: long non-coding RNA, 1128 nt
Filed under: Bos indicus x Bos taurus (hybrid cattle)
Lineage: Eukaryota; Metazoa; Chordata; Mammalia; Artiodactyla; Bovidae
Description: lncRNA (ENSBIXG00000022291.1)
Source: RNAcentral
CGCUGCUGCAGAGACCCCGCCUGGCCCGCGGGCCGCGCCCGGGAAGGGACCCUGGCUCCCCAAAUCAAAGCGAGCUGUAAGGCAUCUUUAAAAAGCUCAGACAGAAGCGUUCGACGGAGACCCUCAGUCCUUGCUGGACAAGCCACUGCCACUUGAAGUUUUAAGGAAUGGUUGAAGGGCGCACAGAGGAACAUUUGGUUAUACAAAAGGAUUGAUUUUUACGAGAAGCUUCAAACGACGCCCCGGAAAGUAGGACAAGAUUAUCUGUAAAUCAGAUAAGAAGGAUUCUGAAAGUAAAAGAUACCUUAGUUGCUUACAUCAGAUGUAUUCCACCUCGCUCGCCAACGUGGAGUUCUGCAGGAGGAGUAACCUUCCAGAACAAACGAGGAGUAAGCCUGCCUCUCCAGGGAUGACCACAGCACCCCUCACCCUGGAACAAGUAAGUCAGAAGUCCCGUGUUCUGGUGGGCUUCUCUCUUUUCUCUGCCCAGACAGUUAGAGGGUGUGGUUCCCAGGAGAUCGAAGAACAAGUUAAAGCAGGAGUACAAGCCCCAGAUGCCCGAGUUGGGAGGUUGGGGUCAGAGCAGGACGCUGAGCUGAAGAUUAGAGUCGCAGCAGCUCUGGGCAGUGCCUGAAGGCAGGAGCGUGAGCGCCUGCCCUCCGUGGAGUGGGGGUGAAGGUCACGGCGGUUUUAGGGAGGCCGAGUGAGACGGGUGAGCAGCCGGAGAAUAUGGACGUUCCCACGAAGACGCAGCAGGAGGGUGAAGGGGCGUGAAUCUCCCCCCAGUUCCUUGGUGAGUAAGAGCAAAGAGCCAAGAAUUACAGUUAUAGUGGAGGUGAGGGCACUUCCCCACGGCACUUUGCCUUCAGAGUUUAUAUGUUGUUUUUUCUUUUUUGAUUCUAGGAGGCUAAGGCAGCAAGUCGAUACUGGACUAACUAUGUGGAUUGAGAAAGCGAAUGUAGUGUCUCACCUGCAUGAAAAGAAUGAAGAAAUGUUGAAACUCCCCCCAAAAUAAUUAAAUGGCAGAUUUCUUUUUCUUCAAAUUUAUGACAAGAAAAUAUGGUAUUAUCUAGUAAAUAAUAAUAUAAACCCAGAAAUAUGAAUAAAAAUCAGUAGAAAUAAGAAUCA